Molecule: ribosomal RNA, 497 nt
Filed under: uncultured bacterium
Lineage: Bacteria
Description: partial 16S ribosomal RNA
Rfam family: Bacterial small subunit ribosomal RNA
Source: RNAcentral
GAUGAACGCUGGCGGCGUGCCUAAUACAUGCAAGUCGAGCGAACAGAUGAGGAGCUUGCUCCUCUGACGUUAGCGGCGGACGGGUGAGUAACACGUGGAUAACCUACCUAUAAGACUGGGAUAACUUCGGGAAACCGGAGCUAAUACCGGAUAAUAUAUUGAACCGCAUGGUUCAAUAGUGAAAGACGGUUUUGCUGUCACUUAUAGAUGGAUCCGCGCCGCAUUAGCUAGUUGGUAAGGUAACGGCUUACCAAGGCAACGAUGCUUAGCCGACCUGAGAGGGUGAUCGGCCACACUGGAACUGAGCCACGGUCCAGACUCCUACGGGAGGCAGCAGUAGGGAAUCUUCCGCAAUGGGCGAAAGCUUGACGGAGCAACGCCGCGUGAGUGAUGAAGGUCUUCGGAUCGUAAAACUCUGUUAUUAGGGAAGAACAAAUGUGUAAGUAACUAUGCACGUCUUGACGGUACCUAAUCAGAAAGCCACGGCUAACUACGUG